AUCUUUCCUAUCUCUUUUAAUUUCAUAUACAUGGUUUUGAUGAUUGAGUUGAUAUGGUUUGAUUUGUGCAUAAGUUUGAAUCUGUAUAGCCAAUACAUGGGUUUUGGUUGCUCUGUAAAGGAAAUGUCCUCUUCUUACUUUACUGUCAUAUUGUAAAUAUGAACGUUUACCUAAUAGUGCAAAGGUAGAAUUGCAAUCUUCAUAUUCUAAUUGAUUUAGGAAAAUCAAGUUAGAUACCGUAAAGAUAAGACUUGCGCCAUUGGUAUUCCAAAUGAUAUUGAAAUUAAGUUGCUGGCCAAAUACUUGUUAUAGGAAAUGUUGGAGUGAUUUUAUGUCUUUUCCUAGAACAUGUUUUCUGGACAGUUUACACCCUUACUGCGCAAAUGCUGGUGGAUUGAACGUAGUUAAGAAGCUGCAGUUAUAGAUUUUUUUUUCUUUCGUAGUUGCUCUCCGCGGAUUUGAAGUUGUUCAUUUAGCUAUUUGCCCGUAUGUUUGCUCGAAUUAGUUAUAGCUGGACAUAAUGGCUUGCAAUUCAUCAACUGAUUUUUAAUAACAACACUAGGAUAGUGUGUCACUAAUUCAGCAAGUAGACAAUUAAAAAAUGGAAAAGGAGAUUGGUAAUGGAAGUUGCACUAACUAAUUAAUUAAUAAGGGAGUGGACACUUGUAACGAGAAAGGCACUGGUUGAUUUUAGGGGAUUGAAAUGGGCAUUACUAGUAAAAUAAGAAGGCACUAGGGUAGUGGGAUAAUUAAAAACUGAAAAGAUAAGUUGUUAGUGGCAAAUGCACUAAUGGAAUGCCCACUUUAGAGAGCUGGAAAUCAGAAUAAAAGGGAGGUAGAACACAAGAAAAAAAAUGUGAAAUUGUAAGAAAAAAACCUGAAAAAUAGAGAGGUCAAGGAAGCUUAACAAUCUGACGGAGAGCAAUAGAGAGGGACAACCUUGGACAUUUUGAAAACCUGAGUGAGGAAAUUGAGAAAUCCAGAAGAAAUGAUAUAAAAGUGCAGAAAACUGUAUUGUUGGUUUAAGUUUGAUUGUCUGAUCUCUCUUAGCUCACUCUUCUUGAACUGUUUUCAUCAAUUUGAAGAGCUAAAUUUAGUUUGCAUUCAAGUAAUUGGACCCUGAUUGGUGUGGUUUUGUUGAUUGUGUUCCAUUGAUAUACUGUUGGUUCUAAAUUGUGAGUUUUAAGUUGGUCCUCUUUAGUCAUUCCUGGGUUCAUUUGUGCUUGCUGAACACUGAUUCUUGCUGCUGCUGAGUCUGCUAAAUCUCACCCCCCUCUCUGUUUUCCUCUUUCCAGGUAUAUCUUGAUCCUAUGGAUAUCAUUUGAGGUGUAAACUUGAAUCAUGAAUUAAGAAUGAGAAAGCUAGUCUACACCCUUUCUUCUUUUAAUAUACUAUCACUGUGUACUUUUGAGUUUUCAAUUAGUGUAUUCUGCCCAAAAGGGGGUUUGUAAUUAAGAGUUAAAUCACAUAGUUUUGUGUAACUACUUUCCUCCUUAUUGUGGUUGUUGGACUCUGUAGCUAUUCUAUAAACUCGUUGUUUUAGAGUUUUGUUCAAUCAAGUAUUCUACUUAAAUCUUAUGAGUUUAGGAAAUGAAUGAAUAUUUUCAUGAUGGUAUGAUUGUUGUAGUGAAGUUAAGUUGUGGUUUAUGGUUUCAUUUCAUUUUCUUGUUAAUGGAUUUAUCAUGCUAUCCAUGGGUCUCCCUCUUUUAAUUUCAUUUGGUCUAAUAUUGCUUGUUUGUUGCAUUGAAGUACCGCACCCAAGGUGAAAAGAAUGAUUUUUUCCUAUAUAUUUUUUAUUUGACUAGUACAUGAGAUUUAAUAUUUUCUAGAAGUGUUUAAAUGUUGAUGGCAUGAAUUUUAGUGGACAAAACUCACUUCUCACCAUUGUAAACCGAUAUAUUUUCAUGGCAACCACAAGAAUCUGUUCUCAUGUGAAAAAAGGGAUUGGCAAAACUAAGAAGAAAGAAAGGAUUGAAGUUGUAUAGAGCAGAUCCAUGGAGAUUCCCUCCAGCUGGUGAUUUUCCACUUCCUGUUCCGAUCUUCAGUUCCUCGAGCAGCUUGGGAUCCGUAAGCAGUACCUUAUUCACCCGCUUCCGUGGUCUUCCUCGCCCUCCCAUUCCGGUGAGCAGCGCACGUUAGUAGAUUCACCUAAUCGAGCGCUGAGAGAAACGGUUAUAGAGAGAGAAAGUGAAAUUUUUUUUUGCUAUGUAUAAAUCAGAUACAAAAUAUAAAAAAGACAUAUUGUAUAAAUUUUAUAUAAAAUUUUGAUUUAAGUUGUAUGUUAUUGUAGUUGUAUUUAACUGGG
Nicotiana tabacum (common tobacco) is the source of this 2305-nucleotide long non-coding RNA. RefSeq lists it as uncharacterized. The record is from RefSeq and is a predicted model, not a curated record. Lineage: Eukaryota; Viridiplantae; Streptophyta; Magnoliopsida; Solanales; Solanaceae.